CCUACGGGCGGCAGCAGUGGGGGAUAUUGCACAAUGGGGGGAACCCUGAUGCAGCGACGCCGCGUGGGUGAAGAAGCGCCUCGGCGCGUAAAGCCCUGUCAGCAGGGAAGAAAAUGACGGUACCUGAAGAAGAAGCCCCGGCUAACUACGUGCCAGCAGCCGCGGUAAUACGUAGGGGGCAAGCGUUAUCCGGAUUUACUGGGUGGAAAGGGGGCGCAGACGGCGAUGCAAGCCAGGAGUGAAAGCCCGGGGCCCAACCCCGGGACUGCUCUUGGAACUGCGUGGCUGGAGUGCAGGAGGGGUAGGCGGAAUGCCUGGUGUAGCGGUGAAAUGCGUAGAGAGCAGGCGGAACACCGGUGGCGAAGGCGGCCUGCUGGACUGCAACUGACGUUGAGGCCCGAAAGCGUGGGGAGCAAACAGGAUUAGAUACCCGAGUAGUC
RNAcentral lists this ribosomal RNA (440 nucleotides) under uncultured bacterium. RNAcentral's name for it is "partial 16S ribosomal RNA". It matches the Rfam family "Bacterial small subunit ribosomal RNA", at positions 338 to 795 of the family's 1533-position model. The record is from RNAcentral.